ACAUCGGUGACAGGUGGUGCGAUGGUUGUCGUUCAGCUCGUGUCGUGAGAUGUUGGGUUAAGUCCCGCAACGAGCGCAACCCCUAUUGUUAGUUGCCAUCAUUCAGUUGGGCACUCUAGCGAGACUGCCGGUAAUAAACCGGAGGAAGGUGGGGAUGACGUCAAAUCAUCAUGCCCCUUAUGACCUGGGCUACACACGUGCUACAAUGGUUGGUACAACGAGUUGCGAGUCGGUGACGGCGAGCUAAUCUCUUAAAGCCAAUCUCAGUUCGGAUUGUAGGCUGCAACUCGCCUACAUGAAGUCGGAAUCGCUAGUAAUCGCGGAUCAGCACGCCGCGGUGAAUACCGUUCCCGGGCCUU
RNAcentral lists this ribosomal RNA (359 nucleotides) under uncultured Streptococcus sp. RNAcentral's name for it is "bacterial SSU rRNA". It matches the Rfam family "Bacterial small subunit ribosomal RNA", at positions 1025 to 1382 of the family's 1533-position model. Lineage: Bacteria; Bacillati; Bacillota; Bacilli; Lactobacillales; Streptococcaceae. The record is from RNAcentral.